GACGAACGCUGGCGGCGUGCUUAACACAUGCAAGUCGAACGGAAAGGCCCUGCUUUUGUGGGGUGCUCGAGUGGCGAACGGGUGAGUAACACGUGAGUAACCUGCCCUUGACUUUGGGAUAACUUCAGGAAACUGGGGCUAAUACCGGAUAGGAGCUCCUGCUGCAUGGUGGGGGUUGGAACGUUUCGGCGGUUGGGGAUGGACUCGCGGCUUAUCAGCUUGUUGGUGGGGUAGUGGCUUACCAAGGCUUUGACGGGUAGCCGGCCUGAGAGGGUGACCGGCCACAUUGGGACUGAGAUACGGCCCAGACGCCUACGGGAGGCAGCAGGGGGGAAUAUUGCACAAUGGGCGGAAGCCUGAUGCAGCAACGCCGCGUGCGGGAUGACGGCCUUCGGGUUGUAAACCGCUUUCGCCUGUGACGAAGCGUGAGUGACGGUAAUGGGUAAAGAAGCACCGGCUAACUACGUG
RNAcentral lists this ribosomal RNA (468 nucleotides) under uncultured bacterium. RNAcentral describes it as "partial 16S ribosomal RNA". It matches the Rfam family "Bacterial small subunit ribosomal RNA", at positions 28 to 507 of the family's 1533-position model. The record is from RNAcentral.